CGUUGAGGCGGUUCUGUAAGUUGGACGUGAGAGCCCUCGGCUCAACUGGGGGAGGUCGUUCAAUACUGCAGAACUUGAGGGCAGCAGAGGGGGGUGGAAUUUCCGGUGUAGUGGUGAAAUGCGUAGAUAUCGGAAGGAACACCAGUGGCGAAGGCGGCCCCCUGGGCUGCUCCUGACGCUGAAGGCGAAAGCUAGGGGAGCGAACG
Molecule: ribosomal RNA, 206 nt
Filed under: uncultured bacterium
Lineage: Bacteria
Description: partial 16S ribosomal RNA
Rfam family: Bacterial small subunit ribosomal RNA
Source: RNAcentral